Molecule: ribosomal RNA, 436 nt
Filed under: uncultured bacterium
Lineage: Bacteria
Description: bacterial SSU rRNA
Rfam family: Bacterial small subunit ribosomal RNA
Source: RNAcentral
AUGGGAACGCGAAGAACCUUACCUAGACUUGACAUCUCCUGGAUAGUGUAGAGAUACAUGAAGCCCUUCGGGGCAGGAAGACAGGUGGUGCAUGGUUGUCGUCAGCUCGUGUCGUGAGAUGUUGGGUUAAGUCCCGCAACGAGCGCAACCCUUAUUACUAGUUGCUACCAUUAAGUUGAGCACUCUAGUGAGACUGCCCGGGUUAACCGGGAGGAAGGCGGGGAUGACGUCAAAUCAUCAUGCCCCUUAUGUCUAGGGCAACACACGUGCUACAAUGGUGAGUACAGAUAGAUGCGAUACCGCAAGGUGGAGCCAAACUCUAAAACUCAUCCCAGUUCGGAUUGUAGGCUGCAACUCGCCUACAUGAAGCUGGAGUUGCUAGUAAUCGCGAAUCAGAAUGUCGCGGUGAAUACGUUCCCGGGUCUUGUACACACCG